GCCUGAACCAAGAACAGAAAAAGAGGUUCGUGGUCUAUUAGGUAGAUUGAACUACAUGUCAUGGUUCACAUCUCCUCUAACAGCCACGUAUGAACCCGUAUGAAAACGGAUCAAACGGUCAGGUGAAAUAAUGAUUGCCAAGGGGCAUUGAGAAAUAAAAGAAUAAGUUGCAGGAACCCCCGAUUCUGAUGCCUCCCUAUGGAAAGAGACUGCUCGAGGGGUCUACGAGGUGUAUUGGG
RNAcentral lists this long non-coding RNA (239 nucleotides) under Lathyrus oleraceus (garden pea). Its description in RNAcentral is "Pisum sativum (pea) long non-coding RNA (PSAT_LNC028280)". Lineage: Eukaryota; Viridiplantae; Streptophyta; Magnoliopsida; Fabales; Fabaceae. The record is from RNAcentral.